CCGAGACAAACCCAAUACCCCUGUCCUUAUUGGCCCUAACACAUGAGAAUAUGGCAACAUCUUUUUCUCGACCCUGGAAACCAUCAACAGUUUGUAUAUCAACAAACUUUUGAGAUUCCUGCCCAAAAGUAUCCCGAAAUCGGUCUUGGAAAAGCUUGACUUGGUAUCUAUAGGGAGAGAUAAUUGCAAGUUGUGAACUUGACCUAAGCUCCGGAUACAUAGUCACCAAUUUAUGAUACAAGAGGAGCACAAACUCAACCUCAUCGGUGUUCACCCAGGACCCACUUCCAGAGGGCUGCGAUUCUUUUCCUUCA
RNAcentral lists this unclassified non-coding RNA (314 nucleotides) under Hevea brasiliensis (rubber tree). Lineage: Eukaryota; Viridiplantae; Streptophyta; Magnoliopsida; Malpighiales; Euphorbiaceae. The record is from RNAcentral.